UAAUAAGUGUUUUAUGGCACUUUUUAAAUCCAUAUCCACCUUGUGUGCAAUGUCGGUCGAGCUUCUUUUUUUGAGGAUCGACCAAACAUCAACCUUUAUUUUUUAACUCUUUGUCUGAAAAAAUAUUAUGAAUAAACAAUUCAAAAU
Molecule: unclassified non-coding RNA, 147 nt
Filed under: soil metagenome
Description: partial internal transcribed spacer 1
Source: RNAcentral